ACCCGUUGAUCCUGCGGGAGAUUGCUGCUAUUGGAAUCCGACUAAGCCAUGCAAGUUCAGGCCUUUCUUCGGAGAGACCGGCAUAAUGCUCAGUAGCACGUCGAUAAUCUACCAUAUGGUCAGGGAUAACCUCGGGAAACUGGGGAUAACACCUGAUAGGGGAAUAUAUCUGGAAUGAUUUUUCUUUGAAAGACUACGCCAUAUGAUGAGUCGGCGGCUGAUUAGCUCGUUGGCGGGGUAACGGCCCACCAAGGCUACGAUCAGUAGGGGCCUUGAGAGAGGGAGCCCCGAGAGGGUCACUGAAACACUGGACCCAGCCCUACGGGGUGCAGCAGGCGCGAAACCUUUACAAUGCACGAGAGUGUGAUAAGGGGAUUCCAAGUGCUUAAGCUUUGCUUAGGCUUUUGCCAAGAGUAAAUAUCUUGGCGAAUAAGUGGUGGGCAAGACUGGUGCCAGCAGCCGCGGUAACACCAGCGCCACGAGUGGGAAUCACAAUUAUUGGGCCUAAAGCGUUCGUAGCCGGUUGUUUAAAUCUUUUGUGAAAUCGUCAGGCUUAACCUGACGGACGGCAGGAGAGACUGGACAACUAGGGACCGGAAGGGGUCAGGAGUAUUCCAAGGGGAGCGGUAAAAUGUUAUAAUCCUUGGAGGACUACCUGUGGCGAAGGCGCCUGACCAGUACGGGUUCGACGGUGAGGAACGAAAGCUAGGGGAGCAAUCCGGAUUAGAUACCCGAGUAGUCCUAGCUGUAAACGCUGCGAGCAAGGUGUUGCACAUUUUACGUGAAUGUGCAGUGUCGAAACGAAGGUGUUAAGCUCGUCGCCUGGGGAGUACGGUCGCAAGACUGAAACUUAAAGGAAUUGGCGGGGGAGCACUACAAGGGGUGCGGCGUGCGGUUUAAUUGAACUAUACGCCGGAAAUCUCACCAAGAGCGACGGCAGGAUGAAAGUCAGGCUAAUGACCUUACUUAACAAGCCGAGAGGAGGUGCAUGGCCGCCGCCAGCUCGUGCCGCAAGGUGUCCAGUUAAGUCUGGUAACGAGCAAGACCUGCGCCCACAAUUGCCAGCCAGCCGAUUUAGGUGAUGGGGAACAAUGUGGGAACUGCUUUGGAAACAAAGAGGAAGGUGCAGGCAACGGUAGGUCUGUAUGCCCCGAAUCCCUUGGGCUACACGCGCGCAACAAUGGUAGGGACAAUGGGACGCAACUCUGAAAAGAGAAGCUAAACCUCAAAACCCUAUCCAAGUCCAGAUCGAGGAUUGUAACUCAUCCUCGUGACGAUGGAAUCCCUAGUAAUCAGACGUUACUAUCGUCUGGUGAAUAUGUCCCUGCUCCUUGCACACACCGCCCGUCAAACCACUCGAGCAGGGUUUAGGUGAGCUCUAACUAUUGAGGUUAGCUCGAACCUAAGCUCAGUGAGAUGGGUUAAGUCGUCACAAGGUA
RNAcentral lists this ribosomal RNA (1439 nucleotides) under metagenome. RNAcentral's name for it is "bacterial SSU rRNA". It matches the Rfam family "Archaeal small subunit ribosomal RNA". The record is from RNAcentral.